CCUACGGGAGGCAGCAGUGGGGAAUCUUGCGCAAUGGGCGAAAGCCUGACGCAGCAACGCCGCGUGCGGGAAGAAGGCUUUCGGGCUGUAAACCGCUUUCAGCAGGAACGAAAAUGACGGUACCUGCAGAAGAAGGAGCGGCCAACUAUGUGCCAGCAGCCGCGGUGAUACAUAGGCUUCAAGCGUUGUCCGGAUUUAUUGGGCGUAAAGAGUUCGUAGGCGGUCGAGUAAGUCGGGUGUGAAAAUUCUGGGCUCAACCCAGAGACGCCACCCGAUACUGCUUGACUUGAGUUCGAUAGGGGAGUGGGGAAUUCCUAGUGUAGCGGUGAAAUGCGCAGAUAUUAGGAGGAACACCGGUGGCGAAGGCGCCACUCUGGAUCGAUACUGACGCUGAGGAACGAAAGCAUGGGUAGCAAACAGGAUUAGAUACCCUGGUAGUCCAUGCCGUAAACGGUGGGCACUAGGUGUGGGUUUCCUAUUAACGAAAUCCGCGCCGUCGCUAACGCAUUAAGUGCCCCGCCUGGGGAGUACGGUCGCAGACUAAACUACAAGAAGUAGUACGCGNGAGACGACGCGACGACGACGACGACGGAGGAGGAG
Molecule: ribosomal RNA, 600 nt
Filed under: uncultured bacterium
Lineage: Bacteria
Description: bacterial SSU rRNA
Rfam family: Bacterial small subunit ribosomal RNA
Source: RNAcentral